CCUACGGGAGGCAGCAGUGGGGAAUUUUGCGCAAUGCUCGUAAGAGUGACGCAGCGACGCCGCGUGAAUGACGAAGGCCUUCGGGUCGUAAAGUUCUUUCGACAGGGAAGAAAAUGCCUAUAAGUAACCGUGUAUGUAUUGACGGUACCUGUAUAAGCAGCCCCGGCUAACUCCGUGCCAGCAGCCGCGGUAAUACGGAGGGGGCGAGCGUUGUUCGGAGUGACUGGGCGUAAAGAGCACGUAGGCGGUGUUGUAAGUCAUUAGUCAAAGACUAGAGCUAAACUUUAGUAAGGCUAGUGAUACUAUAGUACGAGAGUAUCAGAGAGGAUUGCAGAAUUCCUGGUGUAGCGGUGAAAUGCGUAGAUAUCAGGAGGAAUACCGUUAGCGAAGGCGGCAAUCUGGCUGGAAACUGACGCUGAGGUGCGAAAGCGUGGGUAGCAAACAGGAUUAGAUACCCCUGUAGUC
This 465-nucleotide ribosomal RNA is filed under the name uncultured bacterium. Its description in RNAcentral is "partial 16S ribosomal RNA". It matches the Rfam family "Bacterial small subunit ribosomal RNA", at positions 338 to 795 of the family's 1533-position model. The record is from RNAcentral.